This 315-nucleotide long non-coding RNA is filed under the name Salmo salar (Atlantic salmon). RNAcentral describes it as "lncRNA (ENSSSAG00000093703.1)". The record is from RNAcentral. Lineage: Eukaryota; Metazoa; Chordata; Actinopteri; Salmoniformes; Salmonidae.
GGGGAUUUGGAUCAGACCUCUACUGGACACCUUAUUAACACAUUUAGUUUGAUGUCUUCCAGUUUGUAGAGACUGAACUGUAGCUCAGCAGGUAGGGAUGGGGAUUUGGAUCAGACCUCUACUGUUAACACAUUUAGUUUGACGUCUUCCAGUUUGUAGAGACUGAACGGUAUCUCAGCAGGUAGGAAUGGGGAUUUGGAUCAGACCUCUACUGGACACCUUAUUAACACAUUUAGUUUGAUGUCUUCCAGUUUGUAGAGACUGAAUGGUAGCUCAGCGGUAGGGAUGGGGAUUUGGAUCAGACCUCUACUGGAC